UUAAUGUCGUCAUCCGAGGGUCGACCGCUGAGACUGCCACCGAGGCAAACGCCAGUCUUCACUCCCGCAAAGUUCCUCGGAGCGAGGAAGGGAGGAGUUCGCCGGCGAUGGAGAAGAAUGUGGUGAUGAUCUGUGCAGCCGUGAGCUUCCUUGGCCUUCUCUCUGCUACGCUCGGCUUCGCUGCUGAGGCGACAAGGAUCAGGACCGAUGAAGGUUUUGGGUUUUCUUCACCUGACCUACCAUGUGGAAUCGGUUGCUCUGCCGCUCCACUGGAAAGCCAUCAUCUAUCGCGUUAGGGUUUUAUAGGGUUUUAAAGACGGGAUCUCGUUGAUUACGAGGCAUCUUUACUGUUUCCUGUGGUUUCUGAUGUACAAACAUCUAACACUAGGUCAAUGCAUAUAUCCAAGGAGCCCAUCAUUAGCUCUGGGUCUUAUAGCUGCAGUGGCUCUUAUGAUAGCUCAGGCCAUCAUAAGCACCGUAGCUGGGUGUAUAUGUUGCAAGAAAUAUCCAAAUCCAUCCGACACCAACUGGACAAUUGGGAUGAUCGCCUUUGUUGCUUCUUGGUAACUCACGUACUUUAUGUUACAUGGGUGUAUUUACCUAUAUGACAAUCUUAUUGAGCCACCCUUUAUUAUUGGCAAUAGAAUUUGGACAUGGAACUAUAAGCAAGCUACUUGUUUCUGUCAAUUGAUAAUCCAGUAUUGAUUCUUUCUA
This is a long non-coding RNA of Musa acuminata AAA Group (dessert banana), 714 nucleotides long. RefSeq lists it as uncharacterized. The transcript has 3 exons. Lineage: Eukaryota; Viridiplantae; Streptophyta; Magnoliopsida; Zingiberales; Musaceae. The record is from RefSeq and is a predicted model, not a curated record.